Molecule: ribosomal RNA, 435 nt
Filed under: uncultured bacterium
Lineage: Bacteria
Description: partial 16S ribosomal RNA
Rfam family: Bacterial small subunit ribosomal RNA
Source: RNAcentral
AGCGAACGCUGGCGGCAGGCUUAACACAUGCAAGUCGAGCGGGCAUCUUCGGAUGUCAGCGGCAGACGGGUGAGUAACACGUGGGAACGUACCCUUCGGUUCGGAACAACUCUGGGAAACUGGAGCUAAUACCGGAUACGCCCUUAUGGGGAAAGGUUUACUGCCGAAGGAUCGGCCCGCGUCUGAUUAGCUAGUUGGUGGGGUAACGGCCUACCAAGGCGACGAUCAGUAGCUGGUCUGAGAGGAUGAUCAGCCACACUGGGACUGGGACACGGCCCAGACUCCUACGGGAGGCAGCAGUGGGGAAUAUUGGACAAUGGGCGCAAGCCUGAUCCAGCCAUGCCGCGUGAGUGAUGAAGGCCUUAGGGUUGUAAAGCUCUUUUGUCCGGGACGAUAAUGACGGUACCGGAAGAAUAAGCCCCGGCUAACUUCGUG